Molecule: non-coding RNA, 107 nt
Organism: Mycena vitilis
Lineage: Eukaryota; Fungi; Basidiomycota; Agaricomycetes; Agaricales; Mycenaceae
Source: the annotation of a GenBank genome assembly
UCCGAAUUGGUGUAGGGGUUAACAUUGCCGCUUCUCAGAAUUACGUAAUCUUAAUAGGCCACGUACAGCUUGCGCGGCAGCCCGGGGUUCGAUUCCCCGAUUCGGAA